Molecule: ribosomal RNA, 394 nt
Filed under: uncultured bacterium
Lineage: Bacteria
Description: partial 16S ribosomal RNA
Rfam family: Bacterial small subunit ribosomal RNA
Source: RNAcentral
AUACGUAGGGGGCUAGCGUUAUCCGGAAUUACUGGGCGUAAAGGGUGCGUAGGUGGUUUCUUAAGUCAGAAGUGAAAGGCUACGGCUCAACCGUAGUAAGCUUUUGAAACUAAGAGACUUGAGUGCAGGAGAGGAGAGUAGAAUUCCUAGUGUAGCGGUGAAAUGCGUAGAUAUUAGGAGGAAUACCAGUUGCGAAGGCGGCUCUCUGGACUGUAAGUAACACUGAGGCACGAAAGCGUGGGGAGCAAAAAGGAUUAGAUACCCUGGUAGCCCACGCCGUAAACGAUGAGUACUAGCUGUCGGGGGUUACCCCCCUCGGUGGCGCAGCUAACGCAUUAAGUACUCCGCCUGGGAAGUACGCUCGCAAGAGUGAAACUUAAAGGAAUUGACGGGG